Molecule: ribosomal RNA, 440 nt
Filed under: uncultured bacterium
Lineage: Bacteria
Description: partial 16S ribosomal RNA
Rfam family: Bacterial small subunit ribosomal RNA
Source: RNAcentral
CCUACGGGAGGCAGCAGUAGGGAAUCUUGCUCAAUGGACGAAAGCCUGAUGGAGCAACGCCGCGUGAGGGAUGAAGGUUUUCGGCUUGUAAAGUCCUUUUGUUAGAGAAGAUAGUUACAGUAUCUAACUGAUCAGCACCUGCUAACUACGUGCCAGCAGCCGCGGUAAUACGGAGGGGGCAAGCGUUCAUCGGAAUUACUGUGCGUAAAGAGCGCGUAGGCGGGAUAGUAAGUCAGAUGUGAAAUCCUAUGGCUUAACCAUAGAACUGCGUUUGAAACUGUUAUUCUAGAGUAUGGGAGAGGUAGGUGGAACUCUUGGUGUAGCGGUAAAAUGCGUAGAGAUAAAGAGGAACACUCAUUGCGAAGGCGACCUGCUAGAACAUAACUGACGCUGAUGCGCGAAAGCAUGGGUAGCAAACAGGAUUAGAUACCCGGGUAGUC